CCUACGGGUGGCAGCAGUGAGGAAUAUUGGUCAAUGGCCGGAAGGCUGAACCAGCCAUGCCGCGUGAAGGUCAGUGCCCUAUGGGCGUUAAACUUCUUUUGUGCGGGAGCAAUAAUGGUCACGUGUGGCCAGACGAGAGUACCGUACGAAUAAGCAUCGGCUAACUCCGUGCCAGCAGCCGCGGUAAUACGGGGGAUGCAAGCGUUAUCCGGAUUUAUUGGGUUUAAAGGGUGCGUAGGCUGUGAGGUAAGUCAGCGGUGAAAUGCCCCCGCUCAACGGGGUGAAGUGCCAUUGAUACUGCCUUGCUGGAAUGCGGAUGCCGUGGGAGGAAUGUGUGGUGUAGCGGUGAAAUGCAUAGAUAGCGGGAGGAACACCAGUGGCGAAGGCGGCCUACUGGGCUUUAACUGACGCUGAGGCACGAAAGCGUGGGUAGCAAACAGGAUUAGAUACCCCAGUAGUC
RNAcentral lists this ribosomal RNA (460 nucleotides) under uncultured bacterium. RNAcentral describes it as "partial 16S ribosomal RNA". It matches the Rfam family "Bacterial small subunit ribosomal RNA", at positions 338 to 795 of the family's 1533-position model. The record is from RNAcentral.